This 253-nucleotide ribosomal RNA is filed under the name uncultured bacterium. RNAcentral describes it as "partial 16S ribosomal RNA". It matches the Rfam family "Bacterial small subunit ribosomal RNA", at positions 524 to 776 of the family's 1533-position model. The record is from RNAcentral.
UACGUAGGGUGCGAGCGUUAAUCGGAAUUACUGGGCGUAAAGUGUGCGCAGGCGGCCGCGCAAGUCGAGUGUGAAAUCCCCGAGCUUAACUUGGGAAUUGCGCUCGAAACUACGUGGCUGGAGUGUGGCAGAGGAAGGUGGAAUUCCACGUGUAGCGGUGAAAUGCGUAGAUAUUGGGAAGAACACCGGUGGCGAAGGCGGCGAGCUGGUCCAUUACUGACGCUGAGGCGCGACAGCGUGGGGAGCAAACAGG